RNAcentral lists this ribosomal RNA (430 nucleotides) under Pseudomonadota bacterium. RNAcentral describes it as "Proteobacteria bacterium partial 16S ribosomal RNA". It matches the Rfam family "Bacterial small subunit ribosomal RNA", at positions 355 to 776 of the family's 1533-position model. Lineage: Bacteria; Pseudomonadati; Pseudomonadota. The record is from RNAcentral.
UGGGGAAUAUUGGACAAUGGGGGGAACCCUGAUCCAGCCAUGCCGCGUGUGUGAAGAAGGCCUUAUGGUUGUAAAGCACUUUAAGCGAGGAGGAGGGUACUGGUAUUAAUACUACCAGCUACUGGACGUUACUUGCAGAAUAAGCACCGGCUAACUCUGUGCCAGCAGCCGCGGUAAUACAGAGGGUGCGAGCGUUAAUCGGAUUUACUGGGCGUAAAGCGUGCGUAGGCGGCUAAUUGAGUCGGAUGUGAAAUCCCCGAGCUUAACUUGGGAAUUGCAUUCGAUACUGGUUAGCUAGAGUGUGGGAGAGGAUGGUAGAAUUCCAGGUGUAGCGGUGAAAUGCGUAGAGAUCUGGAGGAAUACCGAUGGCGAAGGCAGCCAUCUGGCCUAACACUGACGCUGAGGUACGAAAGCAUGGGGAGCAAACAGG